This is a non-coding RNA of Melanomma pulvis-pyrius CBS 109.77, 71 nucleotides long. The record is from the annotation of a GenBank genome assembly. Lineage: Eukaryota; Fungi; Ascomycota; Dothideomycetes; Pleosporales; Melanommataceae.
GUUUGCUUGGCAUAGUAGUAAUCACGUCGGCUCGUCGUGCCUAAGCGCGGGUUCGAUUCUCGUAGAGAGAG